AGAGUUUGAUCAUGGCUCAGGAUGAACGCUGGCGGCGUGCUUAACACAUGCAAGUCGAACGAUGACCCGGUGCUUGCACCGGUGAUUAGUGGCGAACGGGUGAGUAACACGUGAGUAACCUGCCCUUAACUCUGGGAUAAGCCUGGGAAACUGGGUCUAAUACCGGAUAUGACUCCUCAUCGCAUGGUGGGGGGUGGAAAGCCUUUUUGUGGUUUUGGAUGGACUCGCGGCCUAUCAGCUUGUUGGUGAGGUAAUGGCUCACCAAGGCGACGACGGGUAGCCGGCCUGAGAGGGUGACCGGCCACACUGGGACUGAGACACGGCCCAGACUCCUACGGGAGGCAGCAGUGGGGAAUAUUGCACAAUGGGCGAAAGCCUGAUGCAGCGACGCCGCGUGAGGGAUGACGGCCUUCGGGUUGUAAACCUCUUUCAGUAGGGAAGAAGCGAAAGUGACGGUACCUGCAGAAGAAGCGCCGGCUAACUACGUGCCAGCAGCCGCGGUA
RNAcentral lists this ribosomal RNA (503 nucleotides) under uncultured Actinomycetes bacterium. RNAcentral's name for it is "bacterial SSU rRNA". It matches the Rfam family "Bacterial small subunit ribosomal RNA", at positions 8 to 522 of the family's 1533-position model. The record is from RNAcentral. Lineage: Bacteria; Bacillati; Actinomycetota; Actinomycetes.